Podospora fimiseda is the source of this 121-nucleotide non-coding RNA. The record is from the annotation of a GenBank genome assembly. NCBI's taxonomy places the organism in Eukaryota, Fungi, Ascomycota, Sordariomycetes, Sordariales, Podosporaceae.
GUCUCCGUAGCUCAGUGGUCAGCGUCUUGUAAUUGCCUUUUCUUACAGCGUUUUGAGUUUCUCCAGCGAAUUUGAUUUAAGGCAGCGUAGAAAGACGUCGGUUCGAAUCCGACCGGGGAUA